GCUUAACACAUGCAAGUCGAACGGUUGUAGAAUACAGCAGUGGCAGACGGGUGAAUAACACGUGGGAACCUUCCUCGUAGUACGGAACAACUCAGGGAAACUUGAGCUAAUACCGUAUACGUCCGAGAGGAGAAAGAUUUAUCGCUAUGAGACGGGCCCGCGUCCGAUUAGCUUGUUGGUGGGGUAACGGCCUACCAAGGCAACGAUCGGUAGCUGAUCUGAGAGGAUGAUCAGCCACACUGGGACUGAGACACGGCCCAGACUCCUACGGGAGGCAGCAGUGGGGAAUCUUGGACAAUGGGCGAAAGCCUGAUCCAGCCAUGCCGCGUGAGUGAAGAAGGCCUUAGGGUUGUAAAGCUCUUUUGGCAGGGACGAUAAUGACGGUACCUGCAGAAUAAGCCCCGGCAAACUUCGCGCCAGCCCGCCGCGGUAAUAC
RNAcentral lists this ribosomal RNA (436 nucleotides) under uncultured bacterium. Its description in RNAcentral is "bacterial SSU rRNA". It matches the Rfam family "Bacterial small subunit ribosomal RNA", at positions 46 to 526 of the family's 1533-position model. The record is from RNAcentral.